This 468-nucleotide ribosomal RNA is filed under the name uncultured bacterium. RNAcentral's name for it is "partial 16S ribosomal RNA". It matches the Rfam family "Bacterial small subunit ribosomal RNA", at positions 28 to 507 of the family's 1533-position model. The record is from RNAcentral.
GACGAACGCUGGCGGCGUGCUUAACACAUGCAAGUCGAACGGAAAGGCCCUGCUUUUGUGGGGUGCGCGAGUGGCGAACGGGGGAGUAACACGUGAGUAACCUGUCCUUGACUUUGGGAUAACUUCAGGAAACUGGAGCUAAUAUCGGACAGGAGCUCCUGCUGCAUGGGGGGGGUGGGAAAGUUUCGCCGGUGGGGGAUGGACACGCGGCUUAGCGGCUUGUUGGUGGGGUGGUGACUUACCAAGGCUUCGACGGGUAGCCGGCCUGAGAGGGUGACAGGCCACAUUGGGCCUGAGGUACGACCCAGAGUCCUACUGGAGGCAGCGGUGGGAAAUAUUGCACAAUGGGCCGCGGGCUGAUGCAACGACGCCGCGUGCGGGAUGACGGCCUUCGGGUUGUAAACCGCUUUCGCCUGUGACGCAGCGUGAGUGACGGUAAUGGGUAAAGAAGCACCGGCUAACUACGUG